ACCAGACUUGCCCUCCAAUAGAUCCUCGUUAAAGGAUUUAAAUUGUACCCAUUCCGAUGACAGACCUCGAAGAGGACUGUCUCGUUAUUUUUCGUCACUACCUCUCCGUUCUGGAAGUGGGUAAUUUGCGCGCCUGCUGCCUUCCUUGGAUGUGGUAGCCGUUUCUCAGGCUCCCUCUCCGGAGUCGAACCCUUAUUCUCCGUUACCCGUUACUACCAUGGUAGGCGUAUAACCUACCAUCGAAAGUUGAUAAGGCAGACACUUGAAAGAUACAUCGCCAGUACUAGGACUGUGCGAUUGGCAAAGUUAUUCAGAUUCACCAAAUUACGGGCCGAAACCCGAUUGGUUUUUAUUCUAAUAAAUGCGCUCGUUCCUUGCGGGCGGAGCUUUUUUGCAUGUAUUAGCUCUAGAAUUGCCACAGUUAUCCAAGUAGGAUAACUAUAUUCUAGUAAACGGUGGCUGUUGUAAUGAGCUAUUCGCGGCUUCACCGUAUUAAGGCAUGUGCUUAGACAUGCAUGGCUUAAUCUUUGAGACAAGCAUAUGACUACUGGCAGGAUCAACCAGA
This 565-nucleotide ribosomal RNA is filed under the name uncultured eukaryote. RNAcentral describes it as "partial 18S ribosomal RNA". The record is from RNAcentral.